CCCGUACGAUCACUGAAGUUAAGCAACUUCAAGCUUGGCCAGUACCUAGAUGGGUGACCGCUUGGGAAUAACAAGCGCCGUA
This is a non-coding RNA of Acanthosepion pharaonis, 82 nucleotides long. The record is from the annotation of a GenBank genome assembly. Lineage: Eukaryota; Metazoa; Mollusca; Cephalopoda; Sepiida; Sepiidae.